This 460-nucleotide ribosomal RNA is filed under the name uncultured bacterium. Its description in RNAcentral is "partial 16S ribosomal RNA". It matches the Rfam family "Bacterial small subunit ribosomal RNA", at positions 338 to 795 of the family's 1533-position model. The record is from RNAcentral.
CCUACGGGAGGCAGCAGGGAGGAAUAUUGGUCAAUGGGCGCGAGCCUGAACCAGCCAAGGAGCGUGAAGGAUGACUGCCCUACGGGUUGUAAACUUCUUUUAUAAAGGAAUAAAGUGAUGCACGUGUGCCUUUUUGUAUGUACCUUAUGAAUAAGGAUCGGCUAACUCCGUGCCAGCAGCCGCGGUAAUACGGAGGAUCCGAGCGUUAUCCGGAUUUAUUGGGUUUAAAGGGAGCGUAGAUGGGUUGUUAAGUCAGUUGGUAAAGUUUGUGGCUCAACCGUAAAAUUGCAAUUGAUACUGGCAGUCUUGAGUGCAGUUGAGGUAGGCGGAAUUCGUGGUGUAGCGGUGACAUGCUUAGAUAUCACGAAGAACUCCGAUUGCGAAGGCAGCUUACUAAACUGCAACUGACAUUGAUGCUCGAAAGUGUGGGUAUCAAACAGGAUUAGAUACCCUUGUAGUC